This is a long non-coding RNA of Meriones unguiculatus (Mongolian gerbil), 915 nucleotides long. RefSeq lists it as uncharacterized. The transcript has 3 exons. The record is from RefSeq and is a predicted model, not a curated record. NCBI's taxonomy places the organism in Eukaryota, Metazoa, Chordata, Mammalia, Rodentia, Muridae.
GGCGGCGGCAGCGGCUGGGGCGCGCCCAGGGGGAGCGGGGCGCCGCCGCCUUUGAGCGGGCCGCCGCCGCCGCCGUGCGGGAAGAGCUGCUGCCAGUGCUGCAGGUUGCUGCUAGGUGAGAAAACAGCCUCAUCCCGCUGUGAACCCUAGAAACUACAGCACCAAGAAGCCAUGCAAAAUGUGCGCACUGGAGAUACCGGAUGCUAAUAAGAACUGACAGGCCUUCCUCUCACAGUUCAGGGAUCUACGUGGAAGAGGAGGCAGAACGGUUGGAAGAGCCAGAGGUGAUGGAUGACCCAAGGGAUGUGUCUUCUUGACAGAACAGAGCCGACACACGUAUGAACUUAUGGAGACGGUGGCAGCACACACAAGACCUGCACAGGUUCACACCAGACAAAAUCCCAGCACAGAGAAGGGCAAUGGACACAAGUCCCAUACACAGCAGAGAAGUUAUUUGCAAUUGAUAAUCUGAUGAGAGAAAAAAAAUCAAUUUAUCCAAAAGGGUGUCACCAGGUACAUCACUCCAGGGCAGACCCCAUGCCCAAGAGUAAUUGGCUAAUACAAAAUGGGUUCCAUGUUUUUUUAUUUUUAUUAUUUGUUGGUUUUGGGGAAUUUUGUUUUUUUAAGAGAGAAAUGAAAGAGAGGAAGAAGAUGAAGUUGGGUAGAAAGGAUUUGGGAGGAGUUGAGGAAGGGGAAAAUAUGAUCCAAAUAUAUUAUACGAAAAAAUUAAUAAAAACUAUUUUAAAAGAAGAACUAGGAGGCAAACGAGAUGGUUCCAUUGAUAAAGGUUCUUGACACAGCCUUAUGACCUGAGUUCAAUCCCCAGAACCUCCACGGUGGAAGAGAGAGAACCAACUCCCACAAGCUUUCCUCGGACCAUACACCAUAGCACACGUGCACCCUCCAUAUACACAC